Molecule: unclassified non-coding RNA, 399 nt
Filed under: soil metagenome
Description: partial contains 5.8S ribosomal RNA, internal transcribed spacer 2, and large subunit ribosomal RNA
Rfam family: 5.8S ribosomal RNA (bases 1-120)
Source: RNAcentral
GAUGAAGAACGUAGCGAAAUGCGAUACUUGGUGUGAAUUGCAGAAUCCCGUGAACCAUCGAGUCUUUGAACGCAAGUUGCGCCCGAAGCCUCGGCUAAGGGCACGUCUGCCUGGGCGUCACGCAUCGCGUCUCCCCCAAACCGCCAAGGCGGAGGGGAAGGAAGAUGGCUUCCCGUGCCUCACCCGGCGCGGUUGGCCUAAAUUUGGAGCCCGCGGCACUUAGCUCACGCGGCGAUAGGUGGUGAACAAGGCCUUGGCCGUGCAAACAACCCGCUGCGAAGCUCUAUGUCACGUGCGUUCGUCGGACCCUUUGAAGUUGCCUUCGGUGACUUAAAACCUUUGCGACCCCAGGUCAGGCGGGGCUACCCGCUGAAUUUAAGCAUAUCAAUAAGCGGAGGA